Molecule: long non-coding RNA, 1069 nt
Filed under: Homo sapiens (human)
Lineage: Eukaryota; Metazoa; Chordata; Mammalia; Primates; Hominidae
Description: HSALNT0405160
Source: RNAcentral
GGAGCAGCUUCAGCCCAGACCCCCAGUGCAGGUGCUGCUCCAGCCCUGAAGCAUCCCACAACCAUGGCUGGCAGAUGCCAAGGGGAUGUGUGAGAUGGCCCAGCUCCAGGAUGAAACUCAACUUUAGGGAAGCUGGGGAGAGCCUCACAGCGCUGGACAAGCCAUCAGAUGGCACUGCCCCCAGGGACACACCCGGGGGCGUGGACAGGGAUAUGGAGGACCUAAGGCAAAGGGUGGCUUCAAACGUGACAGCAGAUCAGCCGCUGGGGAAAUACCAGAGGGGAUUUGACAGCUGGGCCAGGUGUUCCAGGACAGCACUUUCCAAAAGAUUUUCCAUCCAAACUUCCAGCAAGAAGUAGAUCUUCCAUCGUUAUCCAGAGCAUAUCUACGCAUUCAGAUGAAGAAAACAACACUGACAUGCAUUAUCUCCCAACACCAACCUCAACCCAGCCCUGGAGUGUGAGCAGAGCCAGCAGCAUUUCCAGCCCCGCCUCUGGAGGAAGGAGAGGAACCUGAGACUCUUGGGUGACCUGAGGCGUCUCUGGCAGCACCAGCAAAAGAGCCUGGCCCUGGCCGCCCAGCACAGGUGCUCAGUCCCUCCUGACUGCCACUGCUCCCUCAACACCAAAGCACAGGGUCGCGAGAUGUUGGGAGAGGGUCGGGGAUGCUGGGCUGGGAGAGGACCGGGGGCCUGUCAGAAGCCAUGACAUGAUGCACUCACCGCUCAGGAGGAAGCUACUGGCCUUUGAGUGAAAUCUAUAAGAAUGAACUCUGGAGAUGUAUCGUACAACAUGGAGUCUACAGUUAAAAACUGUAUUGUAUACUGGAAAAUUGCUAAGAUUAGAUCUUCCAUGUUCUCACUACAAAAGCAUAAGUAUGUGAGAUGACGGACGUGUGUGUCAGCUUGAUUUAAUCAUUUUGCAGUGUGGCAAAGCAUCGCACUGUAGGUGGUAAAUAUAUAUACAGUUUUGUCAAUUAUACCUUCAGGAAGCUGGGGUGGUUGGUGUGUGUGUGUGUGUCUGUGUGAUGUGAGGUCAGUGAGGUGCUGAACAUGGUGCAUUAAACAGCA